Molecule: small nuclear RNA, 174 nt
Filed under: Fukomys damarensis (Damara mole-rat)
Lineage: Eukaryota; Metazoa; Chordata; Mammalia; Rodentia; Bathyergidae
Description: U2 spliceosomal RNA
Rfam family: U2 spliceosomal RNA
About the family: U2 is a small nuclear RNA (snRNA) component of the spliceosome (involved in pre-mRNA splicing). Complementary binding between U2 snRNA (in an area lying towards the 5' end but 3' to hairpin I) and the branchpoint sequence (BPS) of the intron results the bulging out of an unpaired adenosine, on the BPS, which initiates a nucleophilic attack at the intronic 5' splice site, thus starting the first of two transesterification reactions that mediate splicing.
Source: Rfam by way of RNAcentral
ACUGCUUCUCAGCCUUUUGGUUAAGAUCAAGUGUAGUAUUCUACCAUUAACUUUGUAAGCAGUUUUAUAGACUUCCAUUUUUAUUUUAUUUUAUUUUAAUUUUUUGUUUUUGUUUUUGGUACCAGGGAUUGAACUCAGGUCCUUGUGCUUGCGAGGCAGGUGCCGGAACCACUG